GUUAGGAAUAUUGGACAAUGGGCGCAAGCCUGGUCCAGCCAUGUCGCGUGAGUGAUGAAGGCCUUCGGGUUGUAAAGCUCUUUAGCCGAUGAUUAUAAUGACUGUAGUCGGAAAAUAAGCCCCGGCUAACUUCGUGCCAGCAGCCGCGGUAAUACGAAGGGGGCGAGCGUUAUUCGGAAUCACUGGGCGUAAAGCGUGCGUAGGCGGCUUUGCAAGUUGGGAGUGAAAGCCCAGGGCUCAACCCUGGAAUUGCUCUCAAAACUGCAAGGCUCGAAUUCGGGAGAGGAUAGCGGAAUUGUCAGUGUAGCAGUGAAAUGCGUAGAUAUUGACAGGAACACCAGUGGCGUAAGCGGCUAUCUGGACCGAUAUUGACGCUGAGGCACGAAAGCGUGGGGAUCAAACAGGAUUAGAAACCCGUGUAGUCC
RNAcentral lists this ribosomal RNA (425 nucleotides) under uncultured bacterium. Its description in RNAcentral is "partial 16S ribosomal RNA". It matches the Rfam family "Bacterial small subunit ribosomal RNA", at positions 354 to 796 of the family's 1533-position model. The record is from RNAcentral.